This 263-nucleotide ribosomal RNA is filed under the name uncultured Staphylococcus sp. RNAcentral describes it as "partial 16S ribosomal RNA". It matches the Rfam family "Bacterial small subunit ribosomal RNA", at positions 99 to 354 of the family's 1533-position model. The record is from RNAcentral. Lineage: Bacteria; Bacillati; Bacillota; Bacilli; Caryophanales; Staphylococcaceae.
CGGACGGGUGAGUAACACGUGGAUAACCUACCUAUAAGACUGGGAUAACUUCGGGAAACCGGAGCUAAUACCGGAUAAUAUAUUGAACCGCAUGGUUCAAUUGUGAAAGACGGUUUUGCUGUCACUUAUAGAUGGAUCCGCGCCGCAUUAGCUAGUUGGUAAGGUAACGGCUUACCAAGGCAACGAUGCGUAGCCGACCUGAGAGGGUGAUCGGCCACACUGGAACUGAGACACGGUCCAGACUCCUACGGGAGGCAGCAGAU